GCGCGGCGCCGGCAGGAACGCGGGUGUGUGCCGCGCCAAGCGUCUCUCCAGGCUGCGGGCAGGGAGGGAGAGCGCACCGCGCGACCGGCCGCCACAGUCUGACAGGGGCGCACGGGAGGCCGCGCGGGGAGGGCCGGGGGCGGGCCGAGCCGGCCGAGGCGGGCCCGACGGCCAAGCGGCGGGGCUGCGGCCUGACUGGCGCCGCGUCAUUCGCGUCAACCGGCGACGCUGUGGCAGGCCCCGCCCCUCCGCUGACGGCCGCCGCGCGGGGCGGGGCCUGCCGCCGCCGCCGCCGCCGCCGCCUGAGGGAAGAGGAAGGAGGCCGCGGCUUCGCGUCCCGCCUCUCGCCUGGCUGGCAGUGGGAGGCCUGAACGCGGUUCCCAUGUCCUCCCCGGCGGCCUCUCGAAUCUCCCAGGAAUCCUAAUGUCACCCGAGGAUGCUGGGAGGACCGCUGAGCCGACCUCUCCAUUGGGCUAAAGGCCUGAAUUUUCAAACCCUGGGGUCACAGGGCCGGGAUCAUCGACUUUGGUAACUCCUGGAAACCUGUUGCAGAGCCCUUUGAGAAGCCUGGUUUUUGGUACCUGAAGGGCGCUAGCGUGACAAGGCCCCUAAACGGGGGUUACAGAUGUGGGACUGACUAGCUAGGCUGGCUCUUGCUCUUCUGGCUUUCCCUGAGGCUCGGAACCAGGAACGAGGUUCCAGAUAGCUGAAUUCAACGUUUUCUGUUGUGAGGACUGGCAGUGCACAAGAAGGUCCCCGGCCCCACCCGUAAGCAGCAUAAGGAAAUGUUGAAAAGACUGCCCGGGUCAAUAAACCUGGACGUGGCAAAUUUCAAAGAAAGUAAUUCAAACCCAGGUGGGGUCCUGGCUUAUAUCUAUUGGAUUUGGCUGCCAUUUGGCAGCUGCUCGUUGGACAGGGAGAGACGAGGAGGUGACUCAGAGGCUGGAGGACAGCAGACUGCACAAACCAUGAUAAUGGCCAGCAAGGAUGGAGGGAGCGUAUGAGAUAUGCGGGGCAGUGUGCUACGUCUCAGCCAACUCUAGGAGUCUUCUACCAUGUGAGGACUCAGUGUUCCCCUCGCUGGAGAAUGCAGCAAUGAGGCACCAUCUUGGAACCAGAGACUAAAUAUGCUGGCAGCUUAAUCCUGG
Molecule: long non-coding RNA, 1148 nt
Organism: Piliocolobus tephrosceles (Ugandan red Colobus)
Lineage: Eukaryota; Metazoa; Chordata; Mammalia; Primates; Cercopithecidae
Exons: 3
Source: RefSeq, a predicted model, not a curated record